UGAUCACAUAGUUACUCUGGAUGGACAGCAGUAAAAGACCUUGGAGUGAUUCUUGACUCCAGUCUCUCAUUUGAUGCUCAUGUAGAUAAUAUUACUAGGAUAGCCUUCUUUCAUCUCAGAAAUAUUUCUAAGAUAAGAAAUAUAUUGUCACUACAUGAUGCAGAAAUAUUAGUUUAUGCUUUUGUCACCUCAUGACUAGAUAACUGUAAUGCCUUACUGUCUGGAUGUUCCAGUACGAGUAUAAACAAACCCCAGUUAGUCCAGAAUGCAGUUGCUAGAGUCCUAACUAGAACCAGAAGAUAUGACCAUACCACCCCGAUCUUAUACACACUGCAUUGGCUCCCUGUGAAAUCUCGCAUUAAUUAUAAAAUACUAUUAUUAACCUAUAAAGCACUAAACGGUCUCGCGCCACAGUAAAUAAGCGACCUUUUGGUUCUGUAUGAUCCGCCACGCCUACUUAGAUCAAAAGAUACAGGCUAUUCGACAGUACCUUGAAUAGCGAAGGCUACAGCAGGGGGAAGAGCUUUCUCUUAUAGAGCCCCACAGUUAUGGAACAGUCUCCCAAUUAGUGUUCAGGACUCAGACACAGUCUCAGUGUUUAAGUCUAGGCUUAAAACGUAUUUGUUUACUCAAGCCUGCCCUGACUAGACUUUCUGUUACACUAAGCACAAGCCUAACAGUCUUUUCUCUCCCUCUCUCCUUCUGUCGAGCCACACACAAUUUUAUGGAGAUACUAGAGAUCCUGAUCCUCUCUGCUCUGCGGACCUGCCUGAUCCGUUUCGGAUGUCCUACCUCUAGAUGGAGCUCUCAUCUACUCCAAUCCCAGCUAGCUGGGACUAUGGCUGCUUCUAAGGCCAAACAGACUUCAUAUAAAUACAUAAUGAACUUUUUCACACUAUCAGUUGUUACCCAGAUGAGGAUGGGUUCCCUUCUGAGUCUGGCUCCUCUCAAGGUUCCUUCCUCUUAACACCUUAUGGAGUUUUUCCUCUCCACCGUCGCCACUCAGUG
This is a long non-coding RNA of Ictalurus punctatus (channel catfish), 1008 nucleotides long. The record is from Ensembl. Lineage: Eukaryota; Metazoa; Chordata; Actinopteri; Siluriformes; Ictaluridae.